GUGUGCCCGCAGGAUUCCUAGCUCUUCCUUUUUGAACGUUGGCUUCACAGCAGUGAUCAUGUCAAGCAAGUAUUAUUCAGCAGCCCCAGCUGGGUUAGUGUGUAAGGACUUGAACAGAUGCACAGGACAAAGGAACACACCAUGGAAAUGUGGGGCAAAGCCUGGGGCCCUCAGUCUAAAGUAGGAGCUCCUGCACCUCCCUUUAAGCACCUUAAAAUCAAUGAAAGGAGCACUGUAGCAAUAAAGAAUGAGGAGGAGUUUCACAUUCAAAAUCAUUUUGUUGGCUUGACAUCUAUCUCAACCACAACCGGGAGGUCGGUUUUUUUCUAGUUGACUUACUUCCUGAAGAUCUGAACAGAAUUGAGAGAUGAAAGACCACAGCGCUGUCUCAUCACCAUGCACACCUCUCUCUGACAAGCAUGGAGACAUUUGGCCUCAUGGUUCCUUCCCAUUUGAUUUAUUAUGCUCUUUGACUCUGGGACAAAACCCCACAAACUCAUCUCUUAAUUACAUAGGCUGUUUUUGGGUUGUGAACAAAACAACAAGUGUAUUUUCUCCCCAUAUGGGUUGAAAUCUCCCGUGUGAUGUCCAGCUUUACCAUAAUACUGCAGGCUGGCUGGUUUACUUCCUGGCACUGCCAUCAGCCAGAAUGUGCUGGUGCAUCACAUUGUCUAACCCCUGGGCACCCUAUGGCCUUCCAGCUCACAGCCUUCCCUUCCUCAACAAGUGUCUCCACGUGGCCGUCCCGUGGGUGACCCAGCCAUCUCACGGGACCUGAGCCCCAUGGCUCUAGCUUCCUUCCCCUUUGUGUCACUUCAGGACUCAUAUUCACAGCUAAACCAGGGAUCUCGUGAUGGGCUGAACUGCACCUGCUGCAAUGUCUUGCUCACUUCCCACAGAUGAUGCCAACCAUGGGGUAGCCACAUCUUAUCAGCUUUUAUGAGGAACAGUUGUACAGUCAACAGCAAGAUGGUGGAAUCCUGGUUGUCCCUGUGUUGGGUAAACCUCCUAAGAGCUUGCAGGGAAGAUGGAUUUGAAAUCCUUGAAUUAAUUCAUGCUCUUUUCUUGAAAUACACUGAGUUGUGGUAGCUUCCUGGAGAGCAGGGUCUCUGCCUGUUGCUCGUUUUCCUUCCCAUUGAGCCCCUUGCAUGGAUUUGAGUAUCUUCAGUGUUGAGUUCAUUACUGGGACUUGGCUCGAAGUCCCAGGAGCUCAGAAGAAAGGUCUUUGGAUGCUUCGUGUUGAAUUCUGUUUCUCUUCCCUGGUACGCAGACAUGAGGGUGCGAAGGGGAAGCAAGAAAAAUUAAGCAGACUGUUCAUUGGUGUCACUUUUGCACUAUUUUUCAUCUGCUUGGGGACAACGGUAUCUGUUCCAAAGGGACAGAAUGGGAAAUUUAAUUAAUGUAUUUAAAAUUCAAACCCCAAAUACAAAGAUAUGUGAACCUUAAGAAAACUAGCUCUUCGAAUCCAAAUUCACAAGGAAAUUAUUGUAUCAGGAUGAGGAUGAAUUUACCUAUUGUGCUUGAUGGAAUUUGCCUGAGGAAAGAACCAGCCUUCCUGCUAGAUGUCAGUCCAACACUGAACGGCAGAUUGAAGCUUGUUGGAUGAUUACAGAAUCGAAGCAUUAUGGUCCUCACCCUUCCUAAGGGGCAUUUUAAUUCUCUAUAAUGGAUUAAUUGCCUUAAUUUUCCUUCAGGGAGUUUUUACACCUAUAAACUGGUCUGUUCCAUCACCUGGAAUCAGACCGUUUCCUCCCUUUGGCAAAGCUGGUUGCAAGGGCUUACUAUUUCUUCCCCUCAGAUUCAAUGUCAACUUCUGCUUAUUCAAUAGCUAAAUAAGUAAAUAUGUGUGUGCAUGUA
Molecule: long non-coding RNA, 1857 nt
Organism: Mustela lutreola (European mink)
Lineage: Eukaryota; Metazoa; Chordata; Mammalia; Carnivora; Mustelidae
Exons: 3
Source: RefSeq, a predicted model, not a curated record